AAUGCUCAAGAUAUUGAAGGGUCAGACCACAUUCAGUUAUAUUCGAAUUCAUAUAAUGGAAACAAUUCAACUUUGCUCCCAUUCAGGUGCACGUACACAUAAAGCGGCAUUUGAUGAAGGAAUUGCCAGAAACAGAUGAUAGUGUUGCACAGUGGUGUAAAGAUAUUUUUGUGGCCAAGGAUGCAUUACUGGACAAGCAUAUGGCUAAUGACACCUUCAGUGCCCAAGAAUUGCAAGAUCAUGGUCGAUCAAA
Populus euphratica (Euphrates poplar) is the source of this 253-nucleotide long non-coding RNA. RefSeq lists it as uncharacterized. The transcript has 2 exons. The record is from RefSeq and is a predicted model, not a curated record. NCBI's taxonomy places the organism in Eukaryota, Viridiplantae, Streptophyta, Magnoliopsida, Malpighiales, Salicaceae.